RNAcentral lists this ribosomal RNA (301 nucleotides) under uncultured bacterium. RNAcentral's name for it is "partial 16S ribosomal RNA". It matches the Rfam family "Bacterial small subunit ribosomal RNA", at positions 509 to 807 of the family's 1533-position model. The record is from RNAcentral.
CAGUCGCCGCGGUAAUACGAAGGGGGCUAGCGUUGCUCGGAAUGACUGGGCGUAAAGGGCGCGUAGGCGGUUUGUACAGUUGGAUGUGAAAUUCCUGGGCUUAACCUGGGGGCUGCAUUUAAUACGUGCAGGCUUGAGUGUGGAAGAGGGUUGUGGAAUUCCCAGUGUAGAGGUGAAAUUCGUAGAUAUUGGGAAGAACACCGGUGGCGAAGGCGGCAACCUGGUCCAUUACUGACGCUGAGGCGCGAAAGCGUGGGGAGCAAACAGGAUUAGAUACCCCCGUAGUCCCUGUCUCUUAUAC